AUGGGGUUUUCUGGGACUUUAUGGGGUCCCUAUGGGAUUUUAUGGGAUUUUAUGGGGUCCCUAUGGGACUUUAUAGGGUUUUUUGGGAUUUUAUGGGGUCCCUAUGGGUUUCUAUGGGGUCCCUAUGGGACUUUAUGGGGUUUUAUGGGAUUUUAUGGGGUCUCUAUGGGAUUUAUGGGAUUUUAUGGGACUUUAUGGGGUGCCUAUGGGACUUUNNNNNNNNUUCUGGGAUUCCUAUGGGGUUUUCUGGGACUUUAUGGGAUCCCUAUGGGAUUUUAUGGGGUUUUUAUGGGACUUUAUGGGGUCCCUAUGGGAUCAUUAUGGGGUUUUAUGGGACUUUAUGGGGUUUUAUGGGAUUUAUGGGACUUUAUGGGACUUUAUGGGGUCCCUAUGGGACUUUAUGGGGUUUUAUGGGAUUUAUGGGGUUUUCUGGGACUUUAUGGGGUUUUUAUGGGACUUUAUAGGUUUCAUGGGGUCCCUAUGGGUUCUUAUGGGACUUUAUGGGGUUUUCUGGGACUUUAUGGGGUUUUAUGGGACUUUAUGGGGUCCCUAUGGGACUUUAUGGGGUUUUAUGGGAUUUAUGGGGUUUUCUGGGACUUUAUGGGGUUUUAUGGGACUUUAUGGGGUCCCUAUGGGACUUUAUGGGGUUCUAUGGGGUCCCUAUGGGAUCAUUAUGGGGUUUUAUGGGAUUUACGGGGUUUUAUGGGACUUUAUGGGGUCCCUAUGGGGUUCUAUGGGGUUUCUAUGGAGUCCCUAUGGGACUUUAUGGGGUUUUAUGGGGUCCCUAUGGGAUCAUUAUGGGGUUUUCUGGGACUUUAUGGGAUUUUAUGGGAUUUUAUGGGUACCCUAUGGGGUCCCUAUGGGACUUUAUGGGGUUUUUAUGGGACUUUAUGGGGUUUCAUGGGGUCCCUAUGGGGUUUUAUGGGGUUUUCUGGGGUCCCUAUGGGGUUUUUAUGGGAUUUAUGGGGUCCCUAUGGGUUUCUAUGGGGUCCCUAUGGGGUUUAUGGGGUCCCUAUGGGUUUCUAUGGGGUCCCUAUGGGAUUUAUGGGGUCCCUAUGGGGUUUUUAUGGGGUUUAUGGGGUCCCUAUGAGGUUUUUAUGGGGUUUAUGGGUUUCUAUGGGGUUUAUGGGGUCCCUAUGGGGUCCCUAUGGGUUUCUAUGGGGUCCCUAUGGGGUUUUUAUGGGGUUUAUGGGGUCCCUCUGUGUUUCUAUGGGGUUUCAGGGCUCCCUACCAGCGCAGGUCCCUGAGCAGCCCCCACAUCUCGGCAGCCAUCUUGGCUGGGCUGAGCGCCCGCAGGGUUUCCUCCCACGUGACCUUGGCUCCGCCCCUCAGCCGAAGCUCCGCCCCCAGCAGCCGCAGCAGCUGCGCCUCCUCCAAUCCUGGGCCGGGAUGCAAAUUUUAUGUUAA
RNAcentral lists this long non-coding RNA (1407 nucleotides) under Phasianus colchicus (ring-necked pheasant). RNAcentral's name for it is "lncRNA (ENSPCLG00000015920.1)". Lineage: Eukaryota; Metazoa; Chordata; Aves; Galliformes; Phasianidae. The record is from RNAcentral.